AUUGAACGCUGGCGACAGGCUUAACACAUGCAAGUCGAGCGAGGUCAUGGUGCUUGCACUAUCACUUAGCGGCGGACGGGUGAGUAAUGCUUAGGAAUCUGCCUAUUAGUGGGGGACAACAUCUCGAAAGGGAUGCUAAUACCGCAUACGUACUACGGGCGAAAGCAGGGGCACACUUGUGUCCUUGCGCUAACAGAUGAGCCUAGGUCGGAUUAGCUAGGUGGUGGCGUAAAGGCCUACUCAGGCGACGAGCUGUAGCGGGUCUGAGAGGAUGCUCCGCCAGACUUGGACUGAGACACGGGCCAGACUCCUACGAGAGGCAGCAGUGGGGAAUAUUGGACAAUGGGGGGAACCCUGGUCCAGCCAUGCCGCGUGUGUGAAGAAGGCCUUAUGGUUGUAAAGCACUUUAAGCGAGGAGGAGGCUCUUUUGGUUAAUACCCAAGAUGAGUGGACGUUACUCGCAGAAUGAGCACCGGCUAACUCUGUGCCAGCAGCCGCAGUAA
Molecule: ribosomal RNA, 503 nt
Filed under: uncultured bacterium
Lineage: Bacteria
Description: partial 16S ribosomal RNA
Rfam family: Bacterial small subunit ribosomal RNA
Source: RNAcentral